This 274-nucleotide ribosomal RNA is filed under the name uncultured bacterium. RNAcentral describes it as "partial 16S ribosomal RNA". It matches the Rfam family "Bacterial small subunit ribosomal RNA", at positions 523 to 796 of the family's 1533-position model. The record is from RNAcentral.
AUACGGAGGGUGCAAGCGUUGCUCGGAAUCACUGGGCGUAAAGCGAACGCAGGCGGCCCGGCAAGUCGGGUGUGAAAGCCCGGGGCUCAACCCCGGAAUUGCACUCGAAACUGCCGGCCUUGAGUACGGGAGAGGGAAGCGGAAUUCCUAGUGUAGAGGUGAAAUUCGUAGAUAUUAGGAGGAACACCCGUGGCGAAAGCGGCUUCCUGGCCCGAUACUGACGCUCAUGUUCGAAAGCGUGGGGAGCAAACAGGAUUAGAAACCCCAGUAGUCC